AUACCUACCUGAUACAAGAAAGAUCAUGAGCAUGAAGGCAGAUUACCCAUAGCAAGACUUACACAUUGCACUCAGAAUGUGCUGACUCCCUGUGAUUUCUCCAACUGCUGGGAAACUUAACUGCAUAAUUUGUGGUAAUGGGGAGACUGAGUUUGUGCUCUUCUAAU
This is a small nuclear RNA of Grammomys surdaster, 167 nucleotides long. RefSeq annotates it as U1 spliceosomal RNA. The record is from RefSeq and is a predicted model, not a curated record. The transcript has a single exon. NCBI's taxonomy places the organism in Eukaryota, Metazoa, Chordata, Mammalia, Rodentia, Muridae.